UUUGGCAAAACUUUUGAAGGGCCAUAAAGGGGCAAAGCUUUUGAAGAGUCAGAAAACACUUUCUGGUCCUCCAAAAGUAUUUUUAGAUGAAAAAGAGGUGUUCAGUAAAAAAAAUUGGAAAGCUGUUUUAGUUUUGCCAAAAAAACUAAAACAUAUUUUGGGAGAAACUCCAUUUUGGAGCUUUUCCAGAAAAACACUUUUAGGCCAUGUCAAGAAGCUGUUUCUUUUGUAGACCAAAAUAUCCAUAAUAAAAUAUAAUAAUUACAUAAAAUAAUAAUAAUAUAUAAUGAUAAUAAUUAUAAUAUUUUAUACUUUAUUAUUGUAUUAUACUUAAAUAUAAUAUUAUAUUACAUUAUAUCAUA
This 362-nucleotide long non-coding RNA is filed under the name Phoenix dactylifera (date palm). Its description in RNAcentral is "long non-coding RNA (PDAC_LNC016993)". Lineage: Eukaryota; Viridiplantae; Streptophyta; Magnoliopsida; Arecales; Arecaceae. The record is from RNAcentral.